AGAGUUUGAUCAUGGCUCAGAUUGAACGCUGGCGGCAGGCCUAACACAUGCAAGUCGAGCGGGGAUUAUGGAAGAGCUUGCUCGGAAGUAAUCCUAGCGGCGGACGGGUGAGUAACGCGUGAGCAACCUGCCUUCAACAGGGGGAUAACGCAUCGAAAGAUGUGCUAAUACCGCGUAAGACCACGGGGUCACAUGGCCAUGGGGUCAAAGGAGCAAUCCGGUUGAAGAUGGGCUCGCGUCCGAUUAGCUAGUUGGUGAGAUAACAGCCCACCAAGGCGACGAUCGGUAGCCGACCUGAGAGGGUGAUCGGCCACAUUGGAACUGAGAAACGGUCCAGACUCCUACGGGAGGCAGCAGUGGGGAAUAUUGGGCAAUGGGGACCGAAAGCCUGACCCAGCAACGCCGCGUGAGGGAAGAAGGGUUUCGGCUCGUAAACCUCUGUCCUGAAGGGCGAAAGAGAUGACGGUACUUCAGGAGGAAGCCCCGGCUAACUACGUGCCAGCCGCCGC
RNAcentral lists this ribosomal RNA (509 nucleotides) under uncultured bacterium. RNAcentral's name for it is "bacterial SSU rRNA". It matches the Rfam family "Bacterial small subunit ribosomal RNA", at positions 8 to 518 of the family's 1533-position model. The record is from RNAcentral.